RNAcentral lists this ribosomal RNA (253 nucleotides) under uncultured bacterium. RNAcentral's name for it is "partial 16S ribosomal RNA". It matches the Rfam family "Bacterial small subunit ribosomal RNA", at positions 524 to 776 of the family's 1533-position model. The record is from RNAcentral.
UACGAAGGGGGCUAGCGUUGCUCGGAAUGACUGGGCGUAAAGGGCGCGUAGGCGGCUUGCACAGUCAGGCGUGAAGUUCCUGGGCUCAACCUGGGGACUGCGCUUGAGACGUGUGGGCUUGAGUGGGGAAGAGGGUCGUGGAAUUCCCAGUGUAGAGGUGAAAUUCGUAGAUAUUGGGAAGAACACCGGUGGCGAAGGCGGCGACCUGGUCCUUGACUGACGCUGAGGCGCGAAAGCGUGGGGAGCAAACAGG